UACGUAGGUGGCAAGCGUUGUCCGGAUUUACUGGGCGUAAAGAGCUCGUAGGCGGUUUGUCGCGUCGAAUGUGAAAACCCGGGGCUCAACCCCGGGCCUGCAUUCGAUACGGGCAGACUAGAGUUCGGUAGGGGAGUCUGGAAUUCCUGGUGUAGCGGUGAAAUGCGCAGAUAUCAGGAGGAACACCGGUGGCGAAGGCGGCAUCCUGGACCGGCAUUGACGCUGAGGCGCGAAAGCUAGGGGAGCAAACGGG
Molecule: ribosomal RNA, 253 nt
Filed under: uncultured bacterium
Lineage: Bacteria
Description: partial 16S ribosomal RNA
Rfam family: Bacterial small subunit ribosomal RNA
Source: RNAcentral